UAGCUUUUUAAUUGAAAGAGAGGAUGAAUGGAAUCACCAGAAAUUAAAAUUUUGGCCCAAAAAUUGAAAUUUACUUUUUGUGAAAAAUCAAAAAUCUUGCUUUUAGACGAUAAGACCCUAUGAAGCUUUACCACUAAGUGGUUUUUUUGGGGAAAAGAAAAAAUAGGGUAUUAUUUUUAAGUGAAAAAGUGAUCUUUUUGAAUUAAAUGAAAAAGCUACUCUAGGGAUAACAGCAUAAUUCUUAUUAAAGUUCUUAUUGAAGUAAGAGAUUGUGACCUCGAUGUUGAAUUAAGAAAGUUAAUUUGUGCAGCCGCGAUUAAUUAUUAGUCUGUUCGACUAUGCUAUUCUU
RNAcentral lists this ribosomal RNA (349 nucleotides) under Mastigodiaptomus nesus. RNAcentral describes it as "partial 16S ribosomal RNA". The stretch from base 73 to 349 matches the Rfam family "Bacterial large subunit ribosomal RNA", at positions 2046 to 2597 of the family's 2925-position model. Lineage: Eukaryota; Metazoa; Arthropoda; Copepoda; Calanoida; Diaptomidae. The record is from RNAcentral.